GGUUGUGGCUCAGCGGUAGAGCACUUGCCUUGCACGUGUGAGCCACUGGGUUCGAUUCUCAGCACCA
Molecule: transfer RNA, 67 nt
Filed under: Ictidomys tridecemlineatus (thirteen-lined ground squirrel)
Lineage: Eukaryota; Metazoa; Chordata; Mammalia; Rodentia; Sciuridae
Description: Spermophilus tridecemlineatus (thirteen-lined ground squirrel) tRNA
Rfam family: tRNA
About the family: Transfer RNA (tRNA) molecules are approximately 80 nucleotides in length. Their secondary structure includes four short double-helical elements and three loops (D, anti-codon, and T loops).
Source: Rfam by way of RNAcentral